RNAcentral lists this ribosomal RNA (484 nucleotides) under uncultured bacterium. RNAcentral describes it as "partial 16S ribosomal RNA". It matches the Rfam family "Bacterial small subunit ribosomal RNA", at positions 30 to 507 of the family's 1533-position model. The record is from RNAcentral.
AUUGAACGCUGGCGGCAGGCCUAACACAUGCAAGUCGAGCGGAUGAAGGGAGCUUGCUCCUGGAUUCAGCUGCGGACGGGUGAGUAAUGCCUAGGAAUCUGCCUGGUAGUUGGGGAUAACGUCCGGACACGGGCGCUAAUACCGCAUACGUCCUGAUGGAGAACGUGGGGGAUCUUCGGACCUCACGCUAUCAGAUGAGCCUAGGUCGGAUUAGCUAGUUGGUUGGGUAAAGGCCUACCAAGGCGACGAUCCGUAACUGGUCUGAGAGGAUGAUCAGUCACACUGGAACUGAGACACGGUCCAGGCUCCUACGGGAGGCAGCAGUAGGGAAUAUUGGACAAUGGGCGAAAGCCUGAUCCAGCCAUGCCGCGUGUGUGAAGAAGGUCUUCGGAUUGUAAAGCACUUUAAGUUGGGAGGAAGGGCAGUAAGUUAAUACCUUGCUGUUUUGACGGUACCAACAGAAUAAGCACCGGCUAACUUCGUG